Molecule: ribosomal RNA, 608 nt
Filed under: uncultured bacterium
Lineage: Bacteria
Description: bacterial SSU rRNA
Rfam family: Bacterial small subunit ribosomal RNA
Source: RNAcentral
CCUACGGGAGGCAGCAGUGAGGAAUAUUGGACAAUGGGCGCAAGCCUGAUCCAGCCAUGCCGCGUGCAGGAUGAAGCAUCUAUGGUGUGUAAACUGCUUUUGUACAGGAAGAAACCUCCCGACGUGUCGGGAAUUGACGGUACUGUAAGAAUAAGGAUCGGCUAACUCCGUGCCAGCAGCCGCGGUAAUACGGAGGAUCCAAGCGUUAUCCGGAAUCAUUGGGUUUAAAGGGUCCGUAGGCGGGCCAGUAAGUCAGUGGUGAAAUCUCUCCGCUCAACGGGGAAAUGGCCAUUGAUACUGCUGGUCUUGAAUUAUUAGGAAGUAACUAGAAUAUGUAGUGUAGCGGUGAAAUGCUUAGAGAUUACAUGGAAUACCAAUUGCGAAGGCAGGUUACUACUAAUGGAUUGACGCUGAUGGACGAAAGCGUGGGUAGCGAACAGGAUUAGAUACCCUGGUAGUCCACGCCGUAAACGAUGGAUACUAGCUGUUGGGGGCAACUUCAGUGGCUAAGCGAAAGUGAUAAGUAUCCCACCUGGGGAGUACGUUCGCAAGAAGAGAAGUAAAGUAAGUAGAGCGNGAGAGUGCGACGACGACGACGAGGGAGGAGG